UGCGCCAUNGAAUGCAGUCGAACGAAAGUCGUUUUAAUGAAGUUGAUUUAGUUUACUAUUGAGACAGAUUUAAAACAAUGGCUUUAGUGGCGGACUGGUGAGUAACACAUAAGCNAUCUGCCUAUCAGAGGGGAACAACNAUGAGAAAUCNUUGCUAAUACCGCAUACUCUAAAAUAAUCGCAUGGUUAAUUUAGGAAAGGAGAAAUCCGCUGAUAGAUGAGCUUAUGGCUGAUUAGCUAGUUGGUAUGGUAAUGGCAUACCAAGGCAACGAUCAGUAGCCGAACUGAGAGGUUGAACGGCCACAUUGGGACUGAGAUACGGCCCAGACUCCUACGGGAGGCAGCAGUCGGGAAUAUUGCGCAAUGGAGGAAACUCUGACGCAGUGACGCCGCGUAUAGGAAGAAGGUUUUCGGAUUGUAAACUAUUGUCAUUAGGGAAGAAAAAAGACAGUACCUAAAGAGGAAGCUCCGGCUAACUAUGUGCCAGCAGCCGCGGUAAUACAUAGGGAGCAAGCGUUAUCCGGAAUUAUUGGGUGUAAAGGGUGCGUAGACGGGUUAGCAAGUUAGUUGUGAAAUCCCUCGGCUUAACUGAGGAACUGCAACUAAAACUACUAAUCUUGAGUGUAGGAGAGGUAAGUGGAAUUCCUAGUGUAGCGGUGAAAUGCGUAGAUAUUAGGAGGAACACCAGUGGCGAAGGCGACUUACUGGACUACAACUGACGUUGAGGCACGAAAGUGUGGGGAGCAAACAGGAUUAGAUACCCUGGUAGUCCACACUGUAAACGAUGGAUACUAGGUGUAGGGGGUGAUUUACCUUCUGUGCCGAACCGCNAAACGCAAUAAGUAUCCCNCCCUGGGGAGUACGGCCNCCAGGCUGAAACUCAAGGAAUUGACNGGGGNCCCNCCCCAGCCGUGGAGUAUGUGGUUUAAUUCCCAAGCCACCCCNAANAAUCCUUACCCNAGGAUGGACNNCCNGAUGAAUAUUGCNGAAAUGCCAUAGUCCUUCCGGACCUC
This 1013-nucleotide ribosomal RNA is filed under the name uncultured bacterium. Its description in RNAcentral is "bacterial SSU rRNA". It matches the Rfam family "Bacterial small subunit ribosomal RNA", at positions 43 to 1030 of the family's 1533-position model. The record is from RNAcentral.